ACUGCCAGCAUCUCUCCGCCAAUGCCUUUAUUUAAGAACCCAGUAUUUUCUUUGAAUCAGUAGUAGCUAUGGUUCCUUUGACUCCUGUUGGCUCUCUGUCACUAACACAUGCAUAUAAGGCAUCCUUCAGCUUGGUUCUGGUCAGGCACUUGUCGGUUCUGUCUUGGCAGGAGGGCCUAGGUUCCCGAGAAGACCAGCCGGGAGCUUCUCUGCUUAUUGGGAUUACAGUCCAGUGUUGCAGGGACAGAGAUCACUGCAGGAGGCCCACAGCCUGUGGCUAGCUGCAAACCCAUCUUAGAGUCCCCUCAAGUCUGCUAAGGGAGCCUAUAGACUGCCACCCAGGGAAGAAAUCAGGAAGUGUUUGGCUGUGAACUGUGAGAAGAAGUGACUCUUUGUGAAGAUGUGACCUAGUUGGGAAGGUAAUCGGAAAGCAGGGCUGGCAGGCUCGGUGGUUUGCAACACCGGCACUUGGGACACUGAGAAGGAAGACACCAAGCCCGAAGUCCUGUUAGGAUGUAAGCGUUUGUCUGCAUGUACAUUGCUAUCUCCGGUUGCAGGGAAUGUAUUGCCUUCUCUGGCCUCUAUAGGCAAGCAGGCACGGACAUAUUUGAGAGAUUUUGACACCUUUAGGAGGUAGAGCCUAAAUGGAGAAACUGGGUUGUUAGGAGAAGACCUUAAGUUGAAAGUCAGCCCCACUGCCUGUCCCCUUUCGCCUUCUCUUCCUACCAUGAUGUGAACAAGCAGCCUCCCCGCUGCUGCCACAGCCACAGCCACAAGCUGCUCCAAUCACCAUGCCUUCCCUUCAUAUAUGGACAGAACUCUCACACUGUGAACCAAAACAGACCCACCUCUCUUUGACUCCUUAUUUUCAGCUCAUUGAGAAACGAACAAUGAGAAAAGUGGCUAACAUAAUAGGUAAAAAUCUACUAGAGACCGAGUGCCCUUAAUCAGAAAACACAAACCCCCGGCACUCCAAAGUCUGACCCUUUGGAGCAUCGUUGGGACACUACAAGUAGAAAACUCCACACCUGGCCACACAUGAGAUGCCACAGAUGAAUCACAAACACAGAUUUGCUAAAAUGAUGUAUAAAAUCGUCUUUAGGCUAUGUGUAUGAGGAUCAACUCCCAGUCUCUGGUAACAUCUAUUCUGCUCCGAAUUUAGAUGCGAUGAACCAUUUCAGAUUCCAAGUACAAGUGAGAUCGAACCUGCUGCUAAAAUGUCUUCCCUAAGAGAGACACAAACAUCUCCUCCUCCCAAGAUACUAACAAACCAACACUCUGAGGACUGGUUCAUCUGAGUUUACUCUGAGGAAUCAAUGUGGUUAUUAGGCUUCCUUACAGAGCAAUGGGUGAGAGAUUAUGGGCUGGAGAGUGGGUGGCCUUAUUACAGCCACACUAGAAAGUCUGAGUCCAGCAGGAAUGGCGACUCCCCCAUGGAUGCACAGACAGAGCCCUUCCUGUCAUCCUUCCUCGCCUGUACACUUCUACCCCUCCCUGAAGCUGCAGGCUGCUUUCUGACAUUCUAUGGGUGGCAGGUUUCUUGAAGCCCUGGGCCUGUUCUGUGACCCUGGUUUUAGGAUGGAGGGUUUCCUUUAGGUUUUGUGUGUUCAAGCUUGUCUUUGAAUUCCAGACACCCCCCAUCCCCACCCUGGACUUGUUUCACUUUCCACGUGCUGGAAUUUACAAACACAAAGCACCACAGCUGUAAAGAUGGGGUUACUUAAAAGUAUUCGGAGAAAACAGUUACACUGUCUUUCCUACAGCAGCUAAUUGUGCCUUGGUUCACCUACGAGCUGUGGUUAGAAACUUGGGAGUUUAAAUGACAGGUGAUACUAUAUCAUUUCAUGUAUACAACACAAUGUUUUGAAGUAUUUGUAACAUAUAUAUGUAUAAUAAAAUGUGCUUUGCUUCACACUA
Long non-coding RNA from Arvicola amphibius (Eurasian water vole), 1917 nucleotides. RefSeq lists it as uncharacterized. The record is from RefSeq and is a predicted model, not a curated record. Lineage: Eukaryota; Metazoa; Chordata; Mammalia; Rodentia; Cricetidae. The transcript has 4 exons.